UACUGUGGAUUCAUUUAUUUUCGUGGGUACCAAUUUUCGUGGAUUAAGGAAAAUUUGCAUGUUCGUGGAUAUUUGAUUUCGUGGUUUAGCACAAAUCUGCUUACUAGCCUAUAGAAAAUGUGAUAUUCGUUGAACAUUUAAUUUCGUGGUUUACCUGUUCCCACGAAUACCACGAAAAUUGAUAUCCAACGAAUAAUAAUGAAUCCACAGUAUAUAAAU
RNAcentral lists this long non-coding RNA (219 nucleotides) under Mytilus galloprovincialis (Mediterranean mussel). The record is from RNAcentral. Lineage: Eukaryota; Metazoa; Mollusca; Bivalvia; Mytilida; Mytilidae.